GAUGAACGCUGGCGGCGUGCCUAAUACAUGCAAGUCGAGCGAACAGACGAGGAGCUUGCUCCUCUGACGUUAGCGGCGGACGGGUGAGUAACACGUGGAUAACCUACCUAUAAGACUGGGAUAACUUCGGGAAACCGGAGCUAAUACCGGAUAAUAUAUUGAACCGCAUGGUUCAAUAGUGAAAGACGGUUUUGCUGUCACUUAUAGAUGGAUCCGCGCCGCAUUAGCUAGUUGGUAAGGUAACGGCUUACCAAGGCAACGAUGCGUAGCCGAGCUGAGAGGGUGAUCGGCCACCCUGGAACUGAGCCACGGUCCAGACUCCUACGGGAGGCAGCAGUAGGGAAUCUUCCGCAAUGGGCGAAAGCCUGACGGAGCAACGCCGCGUGAGUGAUGAAGGUCUUCGGAUCGUAAAACUCUGUUAUUAGGGAAGAACAAAUGUGUAAGUAACUAUGCACGUCUUGACGGUACCUAACCAGAAAGCCACGGCUAACUACGUG
This 497-nucleotide ribosomal RNA is filed under the name uncultured bacterium. RNAcentral's name for it is "partial 16S ribosomal RNA". It matches the Rfam family "Bacterial small subunit ribosomal RNA", at positions 28 to 507 of the family's 1533-position model. The record is from RNAcentral.